This is a long non-coding RNA of Coffea eugenioides, 1255 nucleotides long. RefSeq lists it as uncharacterized. The transcript is spliced from 4 exons. The record is from RefSeq and is a predicted model, not a curated record. Lineage: Eukaryota; Viridiplantae; Streptophyta; Magnoliopsida; Gentianales; Rubiaceae.
GUAUCACAUUGACUUUAGCAUUAUAUGCUUUUCUGCACUAAGAAUCUCUUCACUUUACAGUAAAGCUACUGGAAAUGAACAAUUAAUUUGCUUUCUUACUGUAAUAAUCUAUUCUAGGAAUUGCAGGCUAGGUGCUUCAGUGGAAUGAACAUUGUUCUUGUUUGAUGUUAGGCUUAGAGAGUAUGACUGAGAUGAUAUGUGUUCUUAUCUCAAACUUUCUAGGAAUCUUAGGAGCUGCAACUUGAGGGGAAAGGUUCUUGAUCUAACUAGGAUUCACAACCUUCUUUUCCUGUAACUCUCACAUGAUGAUUCUUCAUCAAUAUUUGAAGUCGGAAUUAAGAUACUUGCAGAAUAUUUAGCAGGUUUUUCUCUUUAAAGAAUGUGAUCAUCUCAUCAGAAAAGUCGAUUUUUUUGAUUAAUCUGCUGGGCAAGUUUUUCUUUUGAAAGAAUGUGAGCAUCUGUAAAGUUAACUGUUUCUUGUGGUUAUAGGACGGAGCUGCAUGUGUAGUUGUUACCAACAUUAUGGGCAAUGGGUUCAGAAAUUGAAGUACUUGAGUAGAGAUUGAGUUUGUUUUUGGGUGAGCUGCAGAAAGAAUUUGAAAUUUUUGAUAGAAUUGUCUACAAAAAUAAGAAUCAGCAUCAAAGGUGCUCUUAUUGUCAGUAUCUGCUCAAGGUGAGAAGGGAUUUGAGGCUUCUGCAAUCAGCAAAUUUGGGGGAAAUCUUGAACUCCUGCUUUGUUGCAAUCCAUAGAAAAAGACCUAAACAAAAACUGCAGCCUUUGGAAAGUUUGAAGAGGAGAAUGUCUGAUGUUGGUAAAUAUAGCUUUUUGGAACGGCUUCUUGGAGUUGCACGUCUACUAUCGCAGAUAAUGACACUGACGCUGCAAAUCCUGAAUCUGCUCCAGAAGGUCCUGAUGGCAAUUAAGGUCAAGACAUUGGUUCUUUGGCUGAUCCUGUUUCACAAGGUGAGUAUAUAAGAGACGGUUCUUCCAUUGCAGGACCUACUGCAAAGAGUAGCAUGACUGUGGAAGAUGGCCUACUUACAACUUCAAAGCUUAUCUCCGCAUUUGAGUCCUUUUAACACACAAGGCCGGGGAGAAAAAGGUUGCCCUCUUAGCGGUGAGAAUGAUUCUGGUGUCAAACUAACAGACAAAAUGGGAUGCAUUUUUCAGUCUGCUUAUUGGUGACAAUAAGAAGAGCAGUAGUGUCUCUUAGGAGCAUAUUCAGACCAAAAAGCCAGUCAUAUUGGGCUUUUU